This 503-nucleotide ribosomal RNA is filed under the name uncultured bacterium. Its description in RNAcentral is "partial 16S ribosomal RNA". It matches the Rfam family "Bacterial small subunit ribosomal RNA", at positions 29 to 507 of the family's 1533-position model. The record is from RNAcentral.
AACGAACGCUGGCGGCGUGCCUAACACAUGCAAGUCGAACGAGAAAGGGGCUUCGGCUCCGAGUAAAGUGGCGCACGGGUGAGUAACAUGUGGGUAACCUGCCUCUAAGAUUGGGAUAACUCGUCGAAAGAUGAGCUAAUACCGAAUAAGACCACAGUUCCCGCGGGAACAGGGGUCAAAGGUAGCCUCUACUUGUAAUCUAUCACGUAGAGAUGGGCCUGCGCACCAUUAGCUAGUUGGUAGGGUAACGGCCUACCAAGGCCAAGAUGGUUAGCUGGUCUGAGAGGAUGAUCAGCCACACUGGCACUGAGACACGGUCCAGACUCCUACGGGAGGCAGCCGUGGGGAAUAUUGCGCAAUGGGCGAAAGCUUGACGCAGCAACGCCGCGUGAGUGAUGAAGGCCUUCGGGUCGUAAAGCUCUGUCGGGAGGAACGAAUGCUCCUGAGGUUAACAGCCUCGGGAGGUGACGGUACCUUCAAAGGAAGCACCGGCUAACUCUGUG